UACGUAGGUGGCAAGCGUUGUCCGGAAUUAUUGGGCAUAAAGCGCGCGCAGGCGGUCCUUUAAGUCUGAUGUGAAAGCCCACGGCUCAACCGUGGAGGGUCAUUGGAAACUGGGGGACUUGAGUGCAGGAGAGAAGAGUGGAAUUCCACGUGUAGCGGUGAAAUGCGUAGAGAUGUGGAGGAACACCAGUGGCGAAGGCGACUCUUUGGCCUGUAAUCUGACGCUGAGGCGCGAAAGCGUGGGGAGCAAACAGG
Molecule: ribosomal RNA, 254 nt
Filed under: uncultured bacterium
Lineage: Bacteria
Description: partial 16S ribosomal RNA
Rfam family: Bacterial small subunit ribosomal RNA
Source: RNAcentral